CAAAUCUGCCAUGGAUAAGAAAACAUUCAAUAUCGUUGGUACCUGGAUAACCUUGAUUUUUCAAAUUCCAUUCUGAAUUAUGACCAAAAUGGCCGAGGUUAAAAGUCACAAAUCCUACUAGGUACGCCAUAAGCCAAUUCUGUCACGCCCGUGGACAGUACAAUUCUCAGUAUCGUUGGUACCUAGAUGACAUAUGUGAUUGGUUAAUCCAUACAAUGAAUAGUCAUUUAAAGAAAUGAUAGUUUGUUGCCAAAUCACGAUCGGUAUUGAAUUAAAAUUUUGUUCUGCUGUCUAUUUAAAGUCUUUCACGAUUGCUAAAAGUCUAAUCUGCCAUGCCCAUGGACAACAUAUAAUCAACAAUCAAUUAUGUCUUUAAAAGAUCAUCGGAAAUUUGACGCCUUAAAGCGACAUAAUUCCGCCGAACAUAAUCGCCGCGUUGUUAUUUCCAUGGAAAAGCAUUAAAGAAUUUGUGUUUUUAAGUUUGUUUACAAUCAGAAAAUAGUCGCAAAUGUUGGUACCUAGUUGACAUAUAAAUCCUUGGUUAUUCCAUACCAUGGAGAUAGUCCUAGCGAACCUAUAGGACCAAGUUCUUGCAAAAUGCGCAAGAACCCAACCGGCGACGAGGGCGCCCCUUUUGGGUAUGCAAUGAAAUUUUUUCGCCAGCCAAAAAUAUUUUUUGUCGACCUUCUGGGCAUUUCUGUUCGCCUGGUAUUUUGGCAGAUUUUAAGAAAAAUCUCGGCAGCCAGCGGUUGCCAACAGACGCCCCUUUUGGGUAUGCAAUGAAAUUUGUCUAAAGACCGUAGAUUUCGGAUUUUUUGAAUAAA
Molecule: long non-coding RNA, 824 nt
Organism: Drosophila virilis
Lineage: Eukaryota; Metazoa; Arthropoda; Insecta; Diptera; Drosophilidae
Source: RefSeq, a predicted model, not a curated record